RNAcentral lists this ribosomal RNA (493 nucleotides) under uncultured bacterium. RNAcentral describes it as "partial 16S ribosomal RNA". It matches the Rfam family "Bacterial small subunit ribosomal RNA", at positions 28 to 507 of the family's 1533-position model. The record is from RNAcentral.
GACGAACGCUGGCGGCGUGCCUAACACAUGCAAGUUGAGCGACGAACCAGGGCUUUCCCUGGGGCAAAGCAGCGAACGGGUGAGUAACACGUGGGUAACCUACCCCGAUAACCGGGACAACCCGCGGAAACUCGGGCUAAUACCGGAUGUGCUCACUGGACUUCGGUUCAGUGCGUAAAGGAAGCGUCGGCCUCCGUAUCGGGCGGGUCCCGCUGCCCAUUAUUUGGUUGGUGGGGAAACGGCGCACCAAGACCGCGAUGGUUAGCUGGUCUGCUGGGACGAUCAGCAACACUGGGACGGGAACACGGCCCAGACUCCUCGGGGAGGAAGCAGUGGGGAAUCUUGCGCAAUGCGCGAAAGCGUGACGCAGCAACGCCGCGUGGGGGAAGAAGGCCUUCGGGUUGUAAACCCUGUUCAGGAGGGACGAAGGUUCGGCGGUGAAUAGCCGUCCGGACUGACGGUACCUCCACAAGAAGCCCCGGCUAACUACGUG